CCUACGGGAGGCUGCAGUGGGGAAUAUUGGGCAAUGGACGCAAGUCUGACCCAGCAACGCCGCGUGAAGGAAGAAGGCUUUCGGGUUGUAAACUUCUUUUAAGGGGGAAGAGCAGAAGACGGUACCCCUUGAAUAAGCCACGGCUAACUACGUGCCAGCAGCCGCGGUAAUACGUAGGGGGCAAGCGUUUACCGGGUUUACUGGGUGUAAAGGGGGUUCAGGCGGGGAGACAAGUCCGAUGUGAAAUACACGGGCUUAACCCGUGAACUGCAUUUGAAACUGUUUCCCUUGAGUGGCGGAGAGGUAAGCGGAAUGCCUUGUGUAGCGGUGAAAUGCGUAGAGAUAAGGAAGAACACCAGUGGCGAAGGCGGAUUACUGGACGAUAACUGACGGUGAGGCGCGAAAGCGUGGGGAGCGAACAGGAUUAGAUACCCGAGUAGUC
RNAcentral lists this ribosomal RNA (442 nucleotides) under uncultured bacterium. Its description in RNAcentral is "partial 16S ribosomal RNA". It matches the Rfam family "Bacterial small subunit ribosomal RNA", at positions 338 to 795 of the family's 1533-position model. The record is from RNAcentral.